This 76-nucleotide transfer RNA is filed under the name bacterium. Its description in RNAcentral is "tRNA-Thr". It matches the Rfam family "tRNA". Rfam says of the family: Transfer RNA (tRNA) molecules are approximately 80 nucleotides in length. Their secondary structure includes four short double-helical elements and three loops (D, anti-codon, and T loops). The record is from RNAcentral. RNAcentral also lists the same sequence under 2 other names.
GCCGCUUUAGCUCAGUUGGUAGAGCAUCUCAUUCGUAAUGAGAGGGUCGCCGGUUCGAAUCCGGCAAGCGGCUCCA